RNAcentral lists this transfer RNA (72 nucleotides) under Clostridioides difficile. RNAcentral's name for it is "tRNA-OTHER". It matches the Rfam family "tRNA". Rfam says of the family: Transfer RNA (tRNA) molecules are approximately 80 nucleotides in length. Their secondary structure includes four short double-helical elements and three loops (D, anti-codon, and T loops). Lineage: Bacteria; Bacillati; Bacillota; Clostridia; Peptostreptococcales; Peptostreptococcaceae. The record is from RNAcentral.
GCGGGUGUGCCAAUUGGUAGAGUUCUGGACUUCCAGCCAGCUGUGGGGGUUCGACUCCCUUCACCCGCUCCA